RNAcentral lists this ribosomal RNA (312 nucleotides) under Enterococcus faecium. RNAcentral describes it as "bacterial SSU rRNA". It matches the Rfam family "Bacterial small subunit ribosomal RNA", at positions 1181 to 1499 of the family's 1533-position model. Lineage: Bacteria; Bacillati; Bacillota; Bacilli; Lactobacillales; Enterococcaceae. The record is from RNAcentral.
GACGUCAAAUCAUCAUGCCCCUUAUGACCUGGGCUACACACGUGCUACAAUGGGAAGUACAACGAGUUGCGAAGUCGCGAGGCUAAGCUAAUCUCUUAAAGCUUCUCUCAGUUCGGAUUGCAGGCUGCAACUCGCCUGCAUGAAGCCGGAAUCGCUAGUAAUCGCGGAUCAGCACGCCGCGGUGAAUACGUUCCCGGGCCUUGUACACACCGCCCGUCACACCACGAGAGUUUUAACACCCGAAGUCGGUGAGGUACCAUUGGAGCCAGCCGCCUAAGGGGAUAGAUAAUGGGGUGAAUUCAUACAUGUUCU